RNAcentral lists this ribosomal RNA (427 nucleotides) under uncultured bacterium. RNAcentral's name for it is "bacterial SSU rRNA". It matches the Rfam family "Bacterial small subunit ribosomal RNA", at positions 355 to 774 of the family's 1533-position model. The record is from RNAcentral.
UGGGGAAUUUUGGACAAUGGGCGCAAGCCUGAUCCAGCAAUGCCGCGUGCAGGAUGAAGGCCUUCGGGUUGUAAACUGCUUUUGUACGGAGCGAAAAGGUCUGCCCUAAUACGGUGGGCUCAUGACGGUACCGUAAGAAUAAGCACCGGCUAACUACGUGCCAGCAGCCGCGGUAAUACGUAGGGUGCGAGCGUUAAUCGGAAUUACUGGGCGUAAAGCGUGCGCAGGCGGUUAUAUAAGACAGGUGUGAAAUCCCCGGGCUCAACCUGGGACCUGCAUUUGUGACUGUAUAGCUAGAGUACGGUAGAGGUGGAUGGAAUUCCGCGUGUAGCAGUGAAAUGCGUAGAUAUGCGGAGGAACACCGAUGGCGAAGGCAAUCCCCUGGACCUGUACUGACGCUCAUGCACGAAAGCGUGGGGAGCAAACA